This 1332-nucleotide long non-coding RNA is filed under the name Canis lupus familiaris (dog). RNAcentral's name for it is "lncRNA (ENSCAFG00030025696.1)". Lineage: Eukaryota; Metazoa; Chordata; Mammalia; Carnivora; Canidae. The record is from RNAcentral.
AUGUGGUCAUGCUCAACGGCGUCCUUGGCAUCUCGGGGUGAAUUUGUUCAGGGUAAGAGACCCCUGUACUGCUGGAAGCAGAAAUCGACCUCCCCACUGCAUUACGGGCUUGUCAGCUUUCAUCCGUUACGCACACAGGUAGCGGGUCCAGGAGCCAAGCUCGUGUUCCAUCCCCAGCCUCCAGCAGCAAGUGCUGUGGUGGAUCUUGGUCUUGCUGACGCAGGCUCUGCCCCCUGCUCCCCGCGGCCAGGGCACCAGCUUUGCACCCGCGUCACUGUUUUACCUCCGAGUCUCCCUGGCUCUCCAGGCAGGGUCACUAAUGCCACCUCUGCGCGUCCUGCCAGCAUCCUGGGCCUCCCUCGGCCACGCCCCCAGGGACCCUGCACCCUCCCCCCACUCAAACAGCACCCGGGCAGGCCUGGCCACUUCCAUCAGUUCAUGGCGCCCUCCCUGGCGCAGAAGUGGGGGCCGUCCCACUUCCUCAGUGUCCUCUGGGACCAUUUCCCCUACAAAAGCAUCUUGGUGUGGGUGCUCGGAGGACCUUCCCCCCGGAACUCCCAGCUCCGGGGCACGGCUGGGGACGCCACGGCUCUUCCACCCACUUGCUCCGUUCAUUCUUUCCAGGGUGUCUGCUGUUCAAAUGCAACUUCAUGCCAAUCCUUCCUUCUCUAUUUUCCAUAUGUUUUUAUUUUGCUCUAUUUUCUGGGGGAUUUCCUCAACCUUCUCUUCCAUUUCUGGUUGCCAUCUGUUGUCAUGUUUCUAACCCCGAAAAGCUCAGCUGUGCUCCCUGAAAGGAGCUGCCUCAUGGCGACGUGCUCUGCUGUCCCCCCUCAGCUCCCUGAGGGAUUGCUCACGCCUUCUCUCUCCUGCCCGCUCCCCACGGGCCCACGGCUGUUCACGGGGCUGCUGCUCCUCUCCGAGACUCUCCUCACAGGCACUCAUCUGGGGCUGCUGCUGCUGCUGGGAGGACACACCUGGCCGUCUGGGGGAGGCCAACUCCACCUCUGGCGUCCCAGCUCUUCCCCCGCCAGGCCGCAGGGUCCUAGGAACUCAACCAGUGAGGACCUCCAAGCGUGCACUAGAUCCUGUCCUUGGCCCGGUGCCUCCGUCCUCAGCUGGACCGGGGCCCUCCCUACAGUGGCCACUGACCCGCUCCUUGUGCUUGCGGGCCCCCCACGGCAGCAGGAGGGGCCAUUCUCCAGUCCAACCGCAGGCAGGACUGCAGUUUGUGGCGAGGAGCACCCACCCUGCCACGAGGACGUCCCACAGUGGGCGUGCGCUGCUGAGACCCACUGGCUUCACGCACGAAGGAAGACCAGCCGUAGCGAAUAG